CCUGAGAAACCCGAAAGAUCGAAUGGGGAGAUUCAUCGUCAGCGAUUCUGGUGCGUGUGCGGCUCGCGAUGUCGAUGACUUCGGUCUCCUGGCACGCGUCCGCAUGUUUUUUAUUGCCGGAAUCGUCGGCGUGCACUUCUUCACUAGUAGAACGUCGCGACCCGUUGGGUGUCGGUCUACGGUACGGUAGGGCAGCCUUCCACGUGUUUACACGGGGCAGACCUCCGUUAACCCGACCGACUGCCCGGCGGUACUCGCAAGGUAUUUGGCCGCAGAUAUUCGAACUGCGUCCGGCCCGUUGCAAGCGCGGCAAGUGUUUCCCGGCUGUACGGAUCUGAUGCCGUUACUCACCGGGCCUUGCCAGCUGUUGGUUGACGGUGAUCUCGGACUGGCUAACAAAUUAUGAUACCGGUCGGCGACGCUACCGCUUUGGGUACUUUCAGGACCCGUCUUGAAACACGGACCAAGGAGUCUAACAUGUGCGCGAGUCAUUGGGAGCUAUUAAGCCUAAAGGCGCAAUGAAAGUGAAGAUCGGCCUUGCGCCGAUCGAGGGAGGAUGGGCCGCGUCACGAUGCGGUCUCGCACUCCCGGGGCGUCUCGUUCUCAUUGCGAGAGGAGGCGCACCCAGAGCGUACACGUUGGGACCCGAAAGAUG
RNAcentral lists this ribosomal RNA (655 nucleotides) under Gavrana aff. maculipes NL750. Its description in RNAcentral is "eukaryotic LSU rRNA". It matches the Rfam family "Eukaryotic large subunit ribosomal RNA", at positions 420 to 825 of the family's 3401-position model. The record is from RNAcentral. Lineage: Eukaryota; Metazoa; Arthropoda; Insecta; Hymenoptera; Ichneumonidae.